Molecule: long non-coding RNA, 564 nt
Organism: Sapajus apella (tufted capuchin)
Lineage: Eukaryota; Metazoa; Chordata; Mammalia; Primates; Cebidae
Exons: 3
Source: RefSeq, a predicted model, not a curated record
UGUCUUUAGUCUUCCCUGUUCCCUUCGGGGGCCGGAAGGGGUUAAAUCUCAGGCUCCGGCAUCUGGGGAGAAGUUAUAAUUAUUCAGUAUGUUCCCACUGACCGAGGAAAGCAAGUGUGUGGCCCGGUUGUUGCUCAAUACUGGUACUUGUCCAAGAUGUAUCUUCAGAUUCUGUGGUGUGGAUUUUCAUGCACCUUAUAAACUUCCAUACAAGAUGAAGAAACUGAGAUACAGAGAGGUUAAGCAACCUGCCCAAAGUUACACAGCUAUUAAGUGAGCAAGCUAGGAUUUGAACAGUCUGUCUGAAUUCAAAACCUAGGAUUUGGAGCUACAAGACAUGGAUUUGAAUCCCAGUUCCACCACUUUCCAGCUUCAUUUUACUCCUCUGUAAAUGGGAAUGAUGAUAAUACCCACCUCACAGGACUUUAAGAGACAGUACCUAAUAAAGUAUGUGGAAACACUUUGAAAACCAGAAAUCGGCCGGGCGCAGUAGCUCAUGCCUGUAAUCCCAGCACUUUGGGAGGCUGAGGCGGGUGGAUCAGAGGUCAGGAGUUCAAGACCAGC